Molecule: ribosomal RNA, 119 nt
Organism: Dendrobium catenatum
Lineage: Eukaryota; Viridiplantae; Streptophyta; Magnoliopsida; Asparagales; Orchidaceae
Source: RefSeq, a predicted model, not a curated record
GGGUGCAACCAUACCAUCACUAGUGCAUCGGAUCCCAUCAGAACUCCAUAGUUAAGCGUGCUUGGGCGAGAGUAGUACUGGGAUGGGUGACCUCGUAGGAAGUCCUCUUGUUGCUCCCU